Molecule: ribosomal RNA, 379 nt
Filed under: uncultured eukaryote
Lineage: Eukaryota
Description: partial 18S ribosomal RNA
Rfam family: Eukaryotic small subunit ribosomal RNA
Source: RNAcentral
CAAUAGCGUAUAUUAAAGUUGUUGCGGUAAAAAAGCUCGUAGUUGGAUUUCUGUUGAGAGCGACCGGUCCAUACCAUGUAUGCGUAUCUGGCUUGCUCUCGGCAUCCUCUCGAUAGACGUUACUGCGCUUGAUCGCGUGGUGCGGAUCUCGGGACUUUUACUUUGAGGAAAUUAGAGUGUUCACGGCAGGCUUUCGCCAGAAUACAUUAGCAUGGAAUAAUACUAUAGGAUCUUGGUUCUAUUUUGUUGGUUUCUAGAAUUGAGAUAAUGAUUAAUAGGGACAAUUGGGGGCAUUCGUAUCAACACGUCAGAGGUGGAAUUCUUGGAUUGUGUUGCGACGAACUACUGCGAAAGCAUUUGCCAAGGAUGUUUUCAUUGA